RNAcentral lists this ribosomal RNA (182 nucleotides) under uncultured bacterium. RNAcentral describes it as "partial 16S ribosomal RNA". It matches the Rfam family "Bacterial small subunit ribosomal RNA", at positions 1319 to 1500 of the family's 1533-position model. The record is from RNAcentral.
CGUGAAGUUGGAAUCGCUAGUAAUCGCGGAUCAGCAUGCCGCGGUGAAUACGUUCCCGGGCCUUGUACACACCGCCCGUCGCACCAUGAGAGUUUGUAACACCCAAAGCCGGUGGGGUAACCUUUUGGAGCCAGCCGUCUAAGGUGGGACAGAUGAUUGGGGUGAAGUCGUAACAAGGUAAC